GCCUCAUACAGGCCAUGGGAAGACAUUACCUGUUGAUAACACAGACUAUUUUCAUGAUCAUGGGAGGUGUGAGAGAAUUGCUGCUCGUUGUGAUGACUGUGGGGGUUGUCAAAGUUUCUUGUUACCCCUGUUGGAAAGAUCCCAGAAGCAAGAUCAAGUCUCUCUGCAGAGGAGACUUGGAGAGCUGUCAUCAAAUGACGUCUCCAUUGUGCAUGCCCUGGCCUUGCUCCGAUCCAUAGGGUCU
This is a non-coding RNA of Oncorhynchus mykiss (rainbow trout), 244 nucleotides long. Lineage: Eukaryota; Metazoa; Chordata; Actinopteri; Salmoniformes; Salmonidae. The record is from RefSeq and is a predicted model, not a curated record.